CAGCUAUUUGCAUGCUUAAUUAAUGCAUUUGCCUAAUUUGCAUAUGUCAGCAAUAUGCAAAUUAGGUAAAGGCAUUAAUUAAGCAUGCGAAAGGCUGAUUUUUUAGAACAAAAUGAAUAGUUAAAGGCUUAAACUAAACCAAAUUGUCUGAAAUUUUGUACAGUAAUUAAAAUCCCGACAAAUUUUCCAUCUGUUAACUCAAAAUAUAAUUGCAGCUUUUAAAUUUUGUGCGCGAGCCAUUUUUAGUUUGUUGGAAAAGACACACCCCCCUGGUUCACAAAAUUUGAGUUCGAGAAAUUUUUUUCAUUAUUCUACAUUAUAAAUACCCAACGAAGCUAUAUAUAUAAAAAACCGGAUACAAAUAGGUGUUUUGCGAAAUUGAGAGCAAUUUCAAAUCUGUUCAGUUUUUUUUGAUACACCCUGUAUAGUUCAUUAAUGCCCAACGUAAGACGACCAGUUAAAAACCAUAAACGUUUUGUUAAUAGACACUAUUAUGGUAUCAUUUAGGCUUAUUAUCAGUUGUAUCCUCUAAAUGUAGUUUGUUCAUAUUAAUAAUAUUAACUAUGGUUCAUGAGAAAACAAUUUUUAUUUGAGACGUUUAAUAAACGUUUAUUCUUAGUCCUGCCUAGAUUUUCCAUUACAGACCCCAUACACACAAUUUCAAAUUGGUUCCAAUACUAUUUGCUGUUAUAGCUGCGGAGGGGAAUCAGCGCAAUGCAUUGCAACACCAUCACUUCUCUGAUGGAUGGAACAUGUAGUGCAACAUAUUACAUAUUGUGCAAC
Molecule: non-coding RNA, 783 nt
Organism: Paramuricea clavata
Lineage: Eukaryota; Metazoa; Cnidaria; Anthozoa; Malacalcyonacea; Plexauridae
Source: the annotation of a GenBank genome assembly